Molecule: ribosomal RNA, 1350 nt
Filed under: Nemertean sp. NT000069
Lineage: Eukaryota; Metazoa; Nemertea
Description: SSU rRNA
Rfam family: Eukaryotic small subunit ribosomal RNA
Source: RNAcentral
AAGAUUAAGCCAUGCAUGUCUAAGUACAAACUUUUACACGGUAACACCGCGAAUGGCUCAUUAAAUCAGUUAUGGUUUAUUAGAUGGUGCUAUCCUACUCGGAUAACUGUGGUAAUUCUAGAGCUAAUACGUGAUACAAAGCUCCGACCCUCGUUUGGAAAGAGCGCCUUUAUUAGAUCAAGAUCAACCGGUUUGGCGCGACGUGGCGUUUUCGCCGUCAAAAGCGGAGCGCGCUCGCGCCGUGCCGCCAUAAAGCGUGAUGAUUCUGAAUAACGUGUUUUCUCGCCGAUCGUAUGGCCCCGCGCCGACGACGCAUCUUUCAAAUGUCUGCCCUAUCAACUUUCGUUGGUAGAUGUUAUGCUUACCAAGGUACUUACGGGUAACGGGGGAUCAGGGUUCGAUCCCGGAGAGGGAGCAUGAGAAACGGCUACCACAUCCAAGGAAGGCAGCAGGCGCGCAAAUUACCCACUCUUAGCACGAGGAGGUAGUGACGAAAAAUAACAAUACGGGACUCUUUCGAGGCCCCGUAAUUGGAAUGAGUACACUCUAAACCCGUUAACGAGGAUCGAUUGGAGGGCAAGUCUGGUGCCAGCAGCCGCGGUAAUUCCAGCUCCAAUAGCGUAUAUUAAAGCUGUUGCAGUUAAAAAGCUCGUAGUCGGACGUCGGGCGGCGGCCAACGGUUCGGUUCCGUGCCGAUUACUGCUGGUCGCGGCCUCCACGCCGGCCGUCUCGUUUGGGUGCUCUUAACUGCAGUGCCUCGAGUAGCCGGAGCGUUUACUUUGAAAAAAUUAGAGUGUUCAAGGCAGGCCACGAGCCUGAAUGAUGGUGCAUGGAAUAAUGGAAUAGGACCUCGGUUCUAUUUUGUUGGUCUUCGGAACUGGAGGUAAUGAUUAAUAGGGACCGACGGGGGCAUUCGUAUUGCGGCGUUAGAGGUGAAAUUCUUGGAUCGUCGCACGACGGACUACUGCGAAAGCAUUUGCCAAGCAUGUUUUCAUUGAUCAAGAGCGAAAGUCAGAGGAUCGAAGACGAUCAGAUACCGUCCUAGUUCUGACCAUAAACGAUGCCGACUAGCGAUCCGGCUCCGUUGCUUCAUAAGACUGGCCGGGCAGCUCCCGGGAAACCAAAGUUUCUGGGUUCCGGGGGAAGUAUGGUUGCAAAGCUGAAACUUAAAGGAAUUGACGGAAGGGCACCACCAGGAGUGGAGCCUGCGGCUUAAUUUGACUCAACACGGGAAAACUCACCCGGCCCGGACACCGUAAGGAUUGACAGAUUGAAAGCUCUUUCUUGAUUCGGUGGGUGGUGGUGCAUGGCCGUUCUUAGUUGGUGGAGCGAUUUGUCUGGUUAAUUCCG